Molecule: long non-coding RNA, 697 nt
Organism: Heterocephalus glaber (naked mole-rat)
Lineage: Eukaryota; Metazoa; Chordata; Mammalia; Rodentia; Bathyergidae
Source: Ensembl
CUGUCCCGAGAGUCCUUGGGCCACAGCUCAAGUUCCAGCCUCGCCCAGCCACCUGUCCGAGUGUCUCGCCACAUAGUCCACGCUGCCCUUGAAUUUAUGGCAAUCCUCCUGCCUCAGCCUCCCUCAUGCUGUGAUCACAGGCACGCGCCACCAGGCCCAGUAGAAGUGAGCAUUUUUGCAGUGAAUCUUCCUAGAGGUUAGAGAGCAUUACUGAUCCCCACUCUGCAGAUUGGGAAACUGAGGGUCAGAGGGGUUCGUCAGGGUGCCGGAGCACACAGCCUGAGUGCAGAGGCGCCGGCCUCCAGGCAAACAGCAAUUGCGAGGAAUAAUAUUGUUAGAUCAUUUUCCUCACUAGUCCGAGUCUGCAGCACAUAACGUUCACAUCCCUUGUGCAGAGCUGGUGCAAGCACAGAGCGUAUCCUUACCCCCUUUUCGUCUGCUCCCUCCCGGUCUCAUCCUCUCCCCUCUGAGAAGACCCUUCUUCCUGCUUCCUGUCGUCAGCCUUGCUGGGCUCCUUGUUUACACUCUGGGUUUCUCCUGUAGGAGAAGCCAUGCGAUGUUAAAGCUUGUGAGAAAUAAUAUUUUAGUAUAACUUUUGUGUGUGUAGUACUGGAAUUAAACACAAGGCCUUCGAACAAAAGGACAUCCCCAGUCCCUGGCGUUAGCCAGACAAAGUGUGUGCCACCAUGCACAGCCC